GACGAACGCUGGCGGCGUGCUUAACACAUGCAAGUCGAACGGACAGGCCCUGCUUUUGUGGUGUUCUCGUUUGGCGCACGGGUGUGUAACACGUGAGUAACCUGCCCUUGACUUUGUGAGAACUUCAGGAAACUGGGGCGCAUACCGGAUAGAAGCUCCUGCUGCAUGGUGGGCGUUGGAAAAUUUCGGCGGUGGGGGCUCGACUCGCGGCUUAUCAGCUUGUUGGUGGGGUAGUGGCUUACCAAGGCUUUGACGGGUAGCCGGCCUGAGAGGGUGACCGGCCACAUUGGGACUGAGAUACGGCCCAGACUCCUACGGGAGGCAGCAGUGGGGAAUAUUGCACAAUGGGCGGACGCCUGAGGCAGCAACGCCGCGUGCGGGAUGCCGGCCUUCGGGUUGUAAACCGCUUUCGCCUGUGACGAAGCGUGAGUGACGGUAAUGGGUCAAGAAGCACCGGCUAACUACGUG
Molecule: ribosomal RNA, 468 nt
Filed under: uncultured bacterium
Lineage: Bacteria
Description: partial 16S ribosomal RNA
Rfam family: Bacterial small subunit ribosomal RNA
Source: RNAcentral